GAACCUUACCUGGGCUCGAAAUGUACAUGAAUCCGGCAGAAGCGUCGGCGGCUCGCAAGAGACAUGUAUAUAGGUGCUGCAUGGCUGUCGUCAGCUCGUGUCGUGAGAUGUUGGGUUAAGUCCCGCAACGAGCGCAACCCUUAUCUUCAGUUGCUACCAUUUAGUUGAGCACUCUGACGAAACCGCCUCGGAUAACGGGGAGGAAGGUGGGGAUGACGUCAAGUCCUCAUGGCCUUUAUGUCCAGGGCUACACACGUGCUACAAUGGCCGGUACAAACCGCUGCAAACCCGCGAGGGGGAGCUAAUCGGAAAAAGCCGGCCUCAGUUCGGAUUGGAGUCUGCAACUCGACUCCAUGAAGCUGGAAUCGCUAGUAAUCGUGGAUCAGCAUGCCACGGUGAAUACGUUCCCGGGCCUUGUCACACCGA
Molecule: ribosomal RNA, 426 nt
Filed under: uncultured soil bacterium
Lineage: Bacteria
Description: bacterial SSU rRNA
Rfam family: Bacterial small subunit ribosomal RNA
Source: RNAcentral